CGUUAAUCGGAAUUACUGGGCGUAAAGCGCGCGUAGGCGGCCAAGUAAGCCGGUUGUGAAAGCCCCGGGCUCAACCUGGGAAUGGCAUCCGGAACUGUUUGGCUAGAGUGCAGGAGAGGAAGGUAGAAUUCCCGGUGUAGCGGUGAAAUGCGUAGAGAUCGGGAGGAAUACCAGUGGCGAAGGCGGCCUUCUGGACUGACACUGACGCUGAGGUGCGAAAGCGUGGGUAGCAAACAGGAUUAGAUACCCUGGUAGUCCACGCUGUAAACGAUGUCGACUAGCCGUUGGGUCCCUUGAGGACUUUGUGGCGCAGUUAACGCGAUAAGUCGACCGCCUGGGGAGUACGGCCGCAAGGUUAAAACUCAAAUGAAUUGACGGGGGCCCGCACAAGCGGUGGAGCAUGUGGUUUAAUUCGAUGCAACGCGAAGAACCUUACCUACCCUUGACAUCCUCGGAAUCCGCCAGAGAUGGUGGAGUGCCUUCGGGAACCGAGAGACAGGUGCUGCAUGGCUGUCGUCAGCUCGUGUUGUGAAAUGUUGGGUUAAGUCCCGUAACGAGCGCAACCCUUGUCCCUAUUUGCCAGCACGUAACGGUGGGAACUCUAGGGAGACUGCCGGUGACAAACCGGAGGAAGGUGGGGACGACGUCAAGUCAUCAUGGCCCUUACGGGUAGGGCUACACACGUGCUACAAUGGCCGGUACAAAGGGCAGCGAAGCCGCGAGGUGGAGCGAAUCCCGAAAAGCCGGUCUCAGUCCGGAUCGGAGUCUGCAACUCGACUCCGUGAAGUCGGAAUCGCUAGUAAUCGUGAAUCAGAAUGUCACGGUGAAUACGUUCCCGGGCCUUGUACACACCGCC
RNAcentral lists this ribosomal RNA (856 nucleotides) under Halomonas sp. GSP64. RNAcentral's name for it is "bacterial SSU rRNA". It matches the Rfam family "Bacterial small subunit ribosomal RNA", at positions 539 to 1394 of the family's 1533-position model. The record is from RNAcentral. Lineage: Bacteria; Pseudomonadati; Pseudomonadota; Gammaproteobacteria; Oceanospirillales; Halomonadaceae.